RNAcentral lists this long non-coding RNA (776 nucleotides) under Homo sapiens (human). RNAcentral describes it as "non-protein coding lnc-CRYL1-1:3". The record is from RNAcentral. Lineage: Eukaryota; Metazoa; Chordata; Mammalia; Primates; Hominidae.
AAAAUUUUCUUUUUUCCUUCUCAGCAAGGCAAUUUACUUCUAUAGAAGGGUGCGCCCUCACAGAUGGAGCAAUGAGAUGGAUUUCACCGUGUUAGGAUGGCCUCCAUCUCCUGACUUCAUGAUCUUCCCGCCUCGGCCUCCUGGGAUUACAGGUGUGAGCCACCGCAUCUGGCCAGAAGUUAAGUUUAAAAGUAGAAGACAAAGAAUUGAACAUACUGACAUUGAUUCUUCGAAGAGAAAUUUAGAACUCAUAUCUAACACCAGCCUCCAAUUGAUUGAGCCAAUUCCUUCAAAUAAAUCUCUCUCUGCAAUAUGCAUCCUAUUGGAUCUGUUUCUGUAGGGAAUUCUGAUUAAUAUACCCUUUCAAGGAACAGCUUUGGAAGAUUAAGAUAAUUGUCUGCUUCUGGAACAAAAGACAGGUUUGUUGCUGUUCAGUUUAAUAAAGAGAGUGUCACCUUCUGGGGCAAAGGCUGAGCAUGUUGGCUUGCAGUUCACUGUUCAAGACUGGGCUUUCCUAAACUUGGUGUACCUGGGCGGUAAAACCAAUCACAUGUGCAGCAUCCACCUGGACUGUCCCCAUGGGACUUGGAAGGGAAAGGGGAACCGAAGGGAAUAUGAAGCCCAGGCUACUGGCUGUGCUGUGAAAAAUAAAGCCCUUUCUCUCUGACUCAGGUGUUUUCUGCCAUCAUUUGUGGAGCUGUUAGAUGAGCUUGUUAGCUUGCAAGUAGGGUAAAAUCUAACAUGAUUCUGAAUAGUAUCUAGCCAUACUAUACCCA